Molecule: long non-coding RNA, 618 nt
Organism: Helianthus annuus (common sunflower)
Lineage: Eukaryota; Viridiplantae; Streptophyta; Magnoliopsida; Asterales; Asteraceae
Exons: 3
Source: RefSeq, a predicted model, not a curated record
UCAUGUAUUUCAUCAUGAGAGAACUCUGUCCGCAUCAUCCGAAGUGGUAGAAAGCCCCUUAAGUCAAGGAAGAGCUUUUGCGCCCCUCUCCAGAUUGCAUCGGUAUCAUUUUUAAUUGUUUUGGGCUGAAAAUACGUGCUUAAUUGCUUUACUUUACAAAACCAUGGUACACUCACAUGUUGAUCCAGUUUGAGAAAUUGAUUAUGAAACCCCUGGUUACAUCUGGACGAAAAUGGCAUACAAUACCAAUGGGUCAAGGCAAAUGCGCCCCAAUAAGGCAGGUCUUAGGUAAGAGCAAGAUGAUAUUAGGGCUGCUAGAAGGAAUCAACAUUGUGAACUUGCAGUGUUUAAAAUGAAGCCUGAAUUGCACUAUGGCGAUGAUGACUGCCCGGUUUCUAUUUCAGAUAGCUUUUCAAAGGAUGCCCAACUUAACUUUGAGAUUGAGCUGAUUGAGUUUUCUAAGAUCAAGGCAAGAACUACAAUUGGUUAUUUAUAAUUUUUGUACACUAAAUUCACACUAUACGGACCUAACUUUGAUGUGAAGCUGCUAUUUGAAGCACACACUUAUAAGUUGUCAAUAACUCUAAACUGAAAUUGAUGCAAAAAUUACUUGCAGCC